RNAcentral lists this ribosomal RNA (467 nucleotides) under uncultured bacterium. RNAcentral describes it as "partial 16S ribosomal RNA". It matches the Rfam family "Bacterial small subunit ribosomal RNA", at positions 28 to 507 of the family's 1533-position model. The record is from RNAcentral.
GAUGAACGCUGGCGGCGUGCUUAACACAUGCAAGUCGAACGGAAAGGCCCAAGCUUGCUUGGCUACUCGAGUGGCGAACGGGUGAGUAACACGUGGGUGAUCUGCCCUGCACUUCGGGAUAAGCCUGGGAAACUGGGCCUAAUACCGGAUAGGACCCCUCCUUGGAUGUUGUGGUGGAAAGUUUUGUCGGUGUGGGAUUAGCUCGCGGCCUAUCGGCUUGUUGGGGUGGUAAUGGCUUACCACGGCGUCGACGGGUAGCCGGACUGAGAGUGUGUACGGCCGUACUGGGACCUAGGGACGGCCGAGACGGCGAAUGGAGGCAGAAGUGGGGAAGAUUGAACCAGGGGUGCCAGGCGGAUGAAGAGGCGCCGCGUGUGGGAGGACGGUCUUGGUGGGGUAAAAUCGCUGCGCGAGGGACGAAGCGUGUUGUGACGGUACCUGGAGAAGAAGCACCGGCUAACUACGUG